Long non-coding RNA from Dermacentor silvarum, 972 nucleotides. RefSeq lists it as uncharacterized. The record is from RefSeq and is a predicted model, not a curated record. The transcript is spliced from 8 exons. Lineage: Eukaryota; Metazoa; Arthropoda; Arachnida; Ixodida; Ixodidae.
CUUCGGCUUGCACGCGCGACGGCGUUCCAAGCGCGUUCCUGACGCAUUUGCUUUUUUUAUCCAGCGGCCGUGGCAGUAGUAACGGCUCUGCACUGUCGGUGGCGCAAGUCCUCGUGCUUGGCCUGUCCUGCUGGUGUGCCCUCGGUUCUGUGAGCCUGCAGGUGCGAGACAGGGUACCCGGUUCCGAAAGGAAUAGAAGAUGGCUGCCCACCGAUCGCUGAGGCCUUCGCUACCUGCACCUGCCGUUGAGGACCGUGGCAAGCAACCAGGCUCGGCAUGAAACUAUAUUGAAAUGCCCCUACAACCCUGCUCACAUGGUGAAGAGAAGCCGCUACCAAAUACACAUCGCAAAAUGCCUAAUGGCUUUCCCGCAGCGGUGCAUGAGCCAGUGCCCAUUCUCAGCUGACCAUAUUGUGCCGGGCAGUGAUUUAAUACAGCACAUGUAAGCGUGCCCGCUCAACAAUACAAUCAAGCGUUUCAUCUAAGGCUUUCCCGCAGCGGUGCAUGAGCCAGUGCCCAUUCUCAGCUGACCAUAUUGUGCCGGGCAGUGAUUUAAUACAGCACAUGUAAGCGUGCCCGCUCAACAAUACAAUCAAGCGUUUCAUCUAAGACUAUGGCAAGCAACCAGGCUCGGCAUGAAACUAUAUUGAAAUGCCCCUACAACCCUGCUCACAUGGUGAAGAGAAGCCGCUACCAAAUACACAUCGCAAAAUGCCUAAUGGCUUUCCCGCAGCGGUGCAUGAGCCAGUGCCCAUUCUCAGCUGACCAUAUUGUGCCGGGCAGUGAUUUAAUACAGCACAUGUAAGCGUGCCCGCUCAACAAUACAAUCAAGCGUUUCAUCUAAGCCCAUUCUACACGAACCACGCCCAUGAUGUAAGUGGCAGAGGUCAAGACUCUCGGCCUGGAUGACACCGACUCCCUACUCUGUACUGAAUAAAGCUGCUCUAUGUAUCUUGUUUUCAAUGCACAAGA